Long non-coding RNA from Homo sapiens (human), 4112 nucleotides. Ensembl annotates it as long intergenic non-protein coding RNA 588. The record is from Ensembl. Lineage: Eukaryota; Metazoa; Chordata; Mammalia; Primates; Hominidae.
GAUGUACACUAAGCGACCCUCAGCUGUGUGGGACCAGCCCUGCCAACUUCCAUCGUGGGCUCAGCUGCAGCUGCCACCUGCACACGGUGCGGGGAAGCAGUGAUGGCAACCUUUCACCGUGCCCACGCCACCAGCAGCGUGAAACCCAGGGCCAGACGUCACCAGGAGCCUAAUUCAGGCGAUUGGCCUGGCAGCUACAGGGCGGGAACUCGCUGCUCAGCCAUCGGAUUUAGGCUGCUGCACAGUCCCCAGCACUGGCGACCUCGUUCUCUGGGCGCAGGGCAAGGAAGAGAGGACCCCAGUUGGGAGGGUGGUGCACUCGGAGACCUGAAGGCCCUCUGGGACCAGCCUUGCCAGCCUCCGCCUUGGGUUCAGCUGCAGCUGUCAUCUGCAUAUGGCGCGCGGCAGCAGAGGUGGCAACUCUCAACGCUGCCCGAGCCACCAGCAGCGCGGACCCCUGGCCAGAUGCCCCAGCAGCGCCUAAUUCGGGCGGCCGGCCCUUCAGCUGCAGGAGGGGGGAACCAGUGGCUCAGCCCCAUGUAGGCGGCUGCACAGUGCCCAGCACUCAAGACCUCGCGCUCAAAAGAGGGCACAGGAGGAGCAGCUGCAGGGGGCAGCGUCGUUAGGCGGGCCCUGAGACAGCUGGGACCGCGCGCUCGGCUCUAGGGAGCUCGGCCAGUCCACAGGCGUCUCAGCAGCAGCUGCCACCUGCAUGCGGUGCCGGCGAGUGCUCGGCUCAGGGCGGUUUCUGGCCACACGCAGUUUCUGGCCACGCGCAAGGCGGUUGCCUUUUGAGGUCCCAUGGGCGCUGGGGCCCAACUGCUCUGCUCCGUAUAUUAUUUAUUCUCCGAGAGGUUGGAGACGUCCUUGUCCGAGAAGUUGGAGGGUCCCUGUCUGAGGUCUGGGCCAGACUGCCUUGCUUUCUGGUGCUGGGCCGGAUGGGGGCCGGGUGGGGGCUGGGCUGGGGGAAGGGCGAGGGCGAGUUGUGGCGUCUCUGAAGCCAAUAGCUGGGCCAUGAAGAUGAUCUUGGCUGUGGAGAGCCAGAAGGGCCAGGUGCGCCUGAGCUCCUGGAGUAGUAACUGCAUCUUCUCUGACCCCUGGUACCAGACUCCAGAUGAGGAUGUCGGGAUGAUACACAAAGCUGCGUCCAGGGGAACGCGUGGGAGCUGCAGCUGAGGCUCCCGCUGAAGAGAAAAGACCAGUCUGAAAUCUACAAGAACAGAGAAUUCUUCCAAAUCAACAUGAAAAUACCUCUAAAACUGGGCAAAGUACUUUUUCCAGCUCUGCAAGUCACCUAUGCACAUAGGAAAAAAAUACUUAAUGUGUCCGAUAAGAGAAGGACUUUAAUUUAAAAAAGGAAUAAAAUGCCGUUUUCUGUCCUAAGUUUGUGAAGAUGAGGAGCAGUGAUAUUUACACUUCUGCUUAAAGUUAAGUUGCUGAUGACUUUUCAAAAAGACAAUUUGGUGGAUGGUUCCACAUUUGGCCUGUGCCAAUGGCUGCCCAGAAGUGGUAACUUUUCUGGUGCACAGAAAAUGCCAGCUUAACAUCUGUGACAGUGAAAACAAGACACCUCUAACGAAGGCUAUAAUGUGCCAAGAAGAUGUGAAACUAUUCUGCUAGACCUUGGUGCUGAUCCAAAUAUUACCGAUGUCUAUGGCAACACUGCUCUCCAUAUGCUGUCUAUAAUGAGAAUAUGUCAAUGGUAGCAAGACUGUUUUCACACAAGACAAACAUCGAAGUGAAAAACAAUGUAGAGCAACCAAUGUUAUUUUCAAAAUAUUUGAAAUCCACUUGUUUUAACAUUGACAUAUGUAAGGGUCAGUUUUUGCUAUUUGGAAGCUUAAGCAAUCCCUGAAUAAAAAUAAUUUGAAAUAAUGGUCUAAGAUUUUACCUUAAAUACUAAUAUCUUUAAAAAAGUAUUAGAGAGUAUGGCUUUCUUUUAUGCAUUUAUGGUAGAUAUUUGAAUUUGUUAUAGGUAAAACUUUUGUUUUCAAUUUUUUUUUGACUGAAGUAUUUUUUUUUCUUUCUAAGUAGUGUACAACAACACAGGAAAGCAAAGUUGGCCUGCAUAAAUUAAGCCAACGUGUAAAAUUUAGGAGACCUGCAAAAAUCUGUAUUUCAGGCUCCUCUUAAAUAGUGAAAUCUGGUUUCCCUUGAGCCCAUAUUACUGUUUGGUGUGCUAUGAAGAGGCUGUAGCUUCACGCAAAGUCUGUGGUCUCCAGUUUGCCAUUGUGCCCACCUAGGGACUUACUCAGGUCAUACCCUUUGCCUCUGUAAAUAUUUUAGUUAACAACUCCUGUCAUAUAGUAUAUUUUGGUAAAGAUUUCAAGGUUUUCAAGACAGUUGAUAGUUAUUUAUAAUAUAUAGCCUAUAUUUUGUAUUAAUUCCUUAAUAAUGGGUUUGACUUUUAGAAUUUAGAAGUUGUUUUUUAAAUAAUGAUUUUUCUUUAUAUAUACCAUAAAUAAUAAUCACAUUGGAAUGCCUAUAGGCCUUUUUAGGUUAAUUAUGGUUAUAUUUGGAUAGGUUAUGCAUAUUGCAGAACACAUUUUAUCUUUCUCCUCAGCAUUGUCUCUGAAAAUGGAAGUGAUUUAGUGGCUUUUAUUAUGCUAAAAUAACCCAUAUAGUUCAGCUAGAAAUUGUAUUGAUAAGCCAUUGCAUUUGUAUUUCUGAUAUUUUGCCAAAAAUAAAAAAUAAUUUUAAGUAGCAAUGAAAAUGGAAACCAGAAUAAAAAUGGAUUAAUGCAUUUUAAGAAGUAGAUUUGCAUUAGGGUCCUAGGAUUAUAAAUAUCAUUAAAAUUGAGAAUAAAAUUUCAUACUGAACUUUGUAACAGCUAAAAUUCUGUGACUCUGUAAUAGGAGAAACCCAAUGGACCAUUUAAUAAUAAGCAAUCAAAAUUCAUUUGAAGCCUAUCUCUUUUAAUUUAGAGACCAUUUCCUUAGUGAUCUACUUGGAGCAGGAGCACCUGACUUUGGCAGCUGGGAUCCUGGGCCCAUUGAUAGAAAAUAAUCAAGUGAGUUUGUAUCACUUGGAGGAAACCUCUACCUUUAUUGGAAAGCUUUAAAAACUGUAAUCCUGAAACUUUAAUUCCUCAAAUGUUAAUAUUGCCACAAAACCUAUUGUCAAAUAAGGAUUAGGCAAAGUUCAAGACAUUUCUUGAAUACUGGACAUAUAAUUCACAGUUUUAUAAUAUUUCUCAAACAUAGAUGAUCAUAGGAUCUUCCUAUUCAGGUACAGUCUUUAAAUUCUGGCAAAGUAAAUAUUCUUUGGAAUACAGUUUAAGAAGUACUACUCUAGAGGUAAUAAUUUAGAUCAUUGAUUUAAUAAAAAUACUUAAAGUAUUUACUACUAUGUCAUAGGGUUUGAGGAUAAACAGAUAAAAGAUACAGCAGCUGCCCUCAAGAAUCUGUUGGUUUAGAUAGAAAUCAAUAAAAUUAUUACAAUAUACCAUGUGAAAUGCUGUGCUAGAAACAAAGAUUAUUGAAACCAGUGACUGUUUCAAAUCAUUUUUGGAGCUGACCAGAGUUAAUGUGAGUCAGAGGCCGGAUGUUUUCAAGUGGAGGAGGAGUGCAUGGGAAAGCACAGAGGAGUGAGAAGGAAGGGACAGAUUUUAUUUGCUUUCUAUUUUAUGUGUUUAAGUUCAUAAGACCUUAUAUAAGGUAUUCAGUUCAGCUGACAAAUAUGUAAUUUUAUGAAUUAUAAAUUGUUUUUGCCAUUUUACAGGAUGGCCUCAUACCACUUUUACUUGCCAUAACUAAAAGAAGACAGCAAAUGGUAUAAUUUUUACUAACAAAAAAUGCAAAUGUAAAUGCAGUUGAUAAAGGUUUAGUCAUUUUUUUAAAGUGAGUGUUGUUCUAGAGUCGUAACAUUCAAGUUGGAAAUAUUAAGUUAAUCAGCAGAUUAGCUUAUAUUUAUUGGAUUAUAGUGGAAAAUAUCAAAACAAAUCACCAGUUAGGUAGAAAAGCAAUUACUUGGACUGGGCAACAUAAAGAACAUAUGUAUAUGAUAGGAUUUAUAUUCUCUUAUUAUAUUGGCUGAUGUUAUUUACAAUCUGAUGUUUUUGUCACAUUAUCUUCUAUUAGUAAAGGGUUUUGUAUUAGUUUUAUAAAAUAUGA